UACAGAGGGUGCGAGCGUUGUUCGGAAUCAUUGGGCGUAAAGCGCACGUAGGCGGUUUGUUAUGUCGGAUGUGAAAGCCCUUGGCUCAACUGAGGAAGUGCAUCCGAAACUGGCAAGCUAGAGUACUAAAGAGGGUCGCGGAAUUCCCGGUGUAGAGGUGAAAUUCGUAGAUAUCGGGAGGAACACCGGUGGCGAAGGCGGCGACCUGGGUAGAUACUGACGCUGAGGUGCGAAAGCGUGGGGAGCAAACAGG
RNAcentral lists this ribosomal RNA (253 nucleotides) under uncultured bacterium. RNAcentral describes it as "partial 16S ribosomal RNA". It matches the Rfam family "Bacterial small subunit ribosomal RNA", at positions 524 to 776 of the family's 1533-position model. The record is from RNAcentral.